RNAcentral lists this small RNA (374 nucleotides) under Vigna angularis var. angularis. RNAcentral's name for it is "Non-protein coding transcript". The record is from RNAcentral. Lineage: Eukaryota; Viridiplantae; Streptophyta; Magnoliopsida; Fabales; Fabaceae.
CCAAAACGAACUCAUCAGAUUUUUAAAUGCUGGAAUUUUUGGCAAUGAUAAGGAAUCUUGUCACACUUUACCUCAAUCAACUACAAGAGCAUCCAUGUUGGUUAGGAUUAACACCUUGCUUCAAGGAUAUUCAGGCAUAAGAUUUGAAAUCAUGGAGGCCAUAGCCAAGUUUUUGAACCAUAACAUAACUCCUUGUCUCCCACUACGUGGCUCAAUCACUGCAUCAGGUGAUAUAAUUCCUUUCUCAUAUGUUGUUAGUCUCUUGAUUGGUAGGACAAACUCCAAGUCUAUUGGACCUAAUGGAGAAGUUCUUAAUGCUAGAGAGGCCUUUCAAUUAGCAGGAAUUGAUGGUGGUUUCUUUGAGUUGCAACCUA